Molecule: non-coding RNA, 1808 nt
Organism: Xyrichtys novacula (pearly razorfish)
Lineage: Eukaryota; Metazoa; Chordata; Actinopteri; Labriformes; Labridae
Source: the annotation of a GenBank genome assembly
GCAGGGAUUGGAUGGACUCGUUGAAUCAUCACUACAAACAAUGAGCAACUCUGCUGACGAGAACAAAAUGAGGUUAACUCGUGAAACAUCUAAAAGUACAAUGUGGAAGUCCAGAUUAUAAAGAAAAGAACCACAGAAGAAGAAGGGUUUCCAUGGAUGGAUCAUUUAUUGUCCAUGUGGAUUCAAUGGUCUUUACACUGGUAGUUCAUUCACACCAGUGGUGGCUGCUGGUCUUUCAAGGAGGGGAAGCUCAUUUUUCUGGCCUACAUCAUAAUUGUAUUUGUUUAUUAGUAUGUAACAGAACAGAGUCGCCAAACACAACGGCAGUCGUUUUUAACAAAGACAAAAGUCGCUGAGGAUCGGUAAAGUCUCUGGAGCAGUUAAGAACAACGGAAUGAAUGACUUGGAAAAUGCUCUGGUAGAUGUUUUAUUCUUCAAGAUCGCUGAUUCGCUUGUUUAGCUGUCAAUCAAAAAAGGAUUUCGCCUCAGACAGCUCAUCCAAUCAUGGAUGCAGAAGCUUGGAGUCCGGGAGAAAGUCGGGACCGCCCUCUCGCCAUAGAACUCCAGUGAAGCUUAGCUUCCAUUGGGCGGGACAAAGCCCAGCAUUUAUCCAAUGAGCGUCUAGUUUCGCUGCUGGAACAACCCACUUUAAGCUUCCACAUUGAAGUCAGCAGAAGCCCAGCGUCCGACUGUUUGAAGCGCUGAGGCGCUGCGAGGAUGAAUGAGAACGAAGUUAUGCCGGUUACCUGUGAUUAUCAGCUUCUUAUCACAGUGUCUGAACAAAAGUUGAAGGCUUUCUAGUGCGUAUUUAGUUAAUGAAAUGUACACACAGCCGUACGUAUUUCACCACUUUUUCUUUUUUGGGGGGGGUGACAUUUUAAGGGAAGCCGAGCUUCCUUUGCAGUCUUAGAGCAAUCGCCACUGAUUCACACAUCUGGUAACUUCCUGAUGAGCAUGUAAACCUUAACAUGUAGUGGGUGAACUAAGACUAAGGUAUUUGCACCAUGGAGUAGAGUUCAUGUACAUAGUCUUCUGUUCCAGAUCAAGGAUCAAAUGAAUCAUGAGACUGAUAGGUGGUUUUUAGUUUUUCCUUGGUUUUGUGUUUCCAUUGAGUGUAUUUCCUUUGUGAUUUCCCCUAGUGUUUCUGUUCCCUAUUGUCCUAUCUUGUGAGUUUUUAGUUUGUGUCUGACCCCGGUUCCCUCAUGUUCUCAGUGUUUUAUUCUUUAUAUCAGUUUUCGGUGUUUCCUGUUUUAUUUUGUAGUAGUUUAUUCCCUGUGUUUCUAGUCUUGUUUUAGCUUCUCAGUUUUCCCUCCUCUGUGAUUGUCUGCACCUGUGUCUCAGAGUCUCACCUGCCUCUCGUUGCUCGUAUCCCUGUGUGUAUAUAGCCCUUGGCUGUGUCCAAAAUGGAUCCCCAACCCCUAGAUAGGCGACUAUAUGGGGGUUAGCACCAUUUUGAGGGGUGUCCGAAACCUGAGUGAUCAAUUCCAAUGCCCCAUAUAGGCGACUCAAAAUUUCCCAUAGAGCUUUGCAAAAUGUAGUGACCAUCCGAUGGUCACUCACCGGUGGUGGGCAUCCCAUCAUGCAUUGGGUCUUGCCAUGUGGUGUCCGAAACCUCCGGUACACAGCCCUUGUCUUCCCCUGUUUCUUUGUUGGUUCAUUGUGUGGUGUGUUGUAUGUCUGUGCGUCUGUAUGCCAGUGUUCCCAGUGUCUCCUUGUGAGUUUUUAGUGAGUUUUUUUGUGAGUCUUUAGUUGGAUUUUGGAUUUUUUGGUUGUUUUGGAUUUUGCCUCUUGGGUUUUUUUUGCCUUUG